RNAcentral lists this ribosomal RNA (108 nucleotides) under Notechis scutatus (mainland tiger snake). The record is from RNAcentral. Lineage: Eukaryota; Metazoa; Chordata; Lepidosauria; Squamata; Elapidae.
GCUAGUGGCAAUGCCUGGUUGACUUUAUCAAGAUAUAAAAGAUAAGCAGGGCCAGGCCUGGUUAGUGUUUGAAUGGGGAACCUCCAAGGAAUACUAGGAGUAUAGGCU